AACGAACGCUGGCGGCAUGCCUAACACAUGCAAGUCGAACGAGACCUUCGGGUCUAUUGGCGCACGGGUGCGUAACGCGUGGGAACCUGCCCUUAGGUUCGGAAUAACUCCCCGAAAGGGGUGCUAAUACCGGAUCAUGUCUUCGGACCAAAGAUUUAUUGCCUUUGGAUGGGCCCGCGUUGGAUUAGCUAGUUGGUAGGGUAAAAGCCUACCAAGGCGACGAUCCAUAGCUGGUCUGAGAGGAUGAUCAGCCACACUGGGACUGAGACACGGCCCAGACUCCUACGGGAGGCAGCAGUGGGGAAUAUUGGACAAUGGGCGAAAGCCUGAUCCAGCAAUGCCGCGUGAGUGAUGAAGGACUUAGGGUUGUAAAGCUCUUUUACCCGGGAUGAUAAUGACAGUACCGGGAGAAUAAGCUCCGGCUAACUCCGU
Molecule: ribosomal RNA, 432 nt
Filed under: uncultured bacterium
Lineage: Bacteria
Description: partial 16S ribosomal RNA
Rfam family: Bacterial small subunit ribosomal RNA
Source: RNAcentral